GCAAACUUGGUCAUUUAGAGGAAGUAAAAGUCGUAACAAGGUCUCCGUAGGUGAACCUGCGGAGGGAUCAUUACCGAGUGAGGGCCCCGUGCCCGACCUCCAACCCUUUGAAGUUAACCAACUCUGUUGCCUCGGGGGCGACCCGGUCGUCGCGCCGGAGCCCCCGGAGGACCACACACCCUGCGUUUUGUGCGUCGGAGUUUUAAGCGAAAUCUUAAUCAAAACUUUCAACAACGGAUCUCUUGGUUCUGGCAUCGAUGAAGAACGCAGC
Molecule: unclassified non-coding RNA, 271 nt
Filed under: uncultured fungus
Lineage: Eukaryota; Fungi
Description: partial contains small subunit ribosomal RNA, internal transcribed spacer 1, and 5.8S ribosomal RNA
Rfam family: Eukaryotic small subunit ribosomal RNA (bases 1-73)
Source: RNAcentral